UGAGGAAUAUUGGUCAAUGGACGAGAGUCUGAACCAGCCAAGUAGCGUGAAGGAUGACUGCCCUAUGGGUUGUAAACUUCUUUUAUACGGGAAUAAAGUGAGGUACGUGUGCCUUUUUGUAUGUACCGUAUGAAUAAGGAUCGGCUAACUCCGUGCCAGCAGCCGCGGUAAUACGGAGGAUCCGAGCGUUAUCCGGAUUUAUUGGGUUUAAAGGGAGCGUAGGCGGACGCUUAAGUCAGUUGUGAAAGUUUGCGGCUCAACCGUAAAAUUGCAGUUGAUACUGGGUGUCUUGAGUACAGUAGAGGCAGGCGGAAUUCGUGGUGUAGCGGUGAAAUGCUUAGAUAUCACGAAGAACUCCGAUUGCGAAGGCAGCCUGCUGGACUGUAACUGACGCUGAUGCUCGAAAGUGUGGGUAUCAAACAGGAUUAGAUACCCUGGUAGUCCACACAGUAAACGAUGAAUACUCGCUGUUUGCGAUAUACAGUAAGCGGCCAAGCGAAAGCGUUAAGUAUUCCACCUGGGGAGUACGCCGGCAACGGUGAAACUCAAAGGAAUUGACGGGGGCCCGCACAAGCGGAGGAACAUGUGGUUUAAUUCAAUGAUACGCGAGGAACCUUACCCGGGCUUGAAUUGCAACUGAAUGAUGUGGAGACAUGUCAGCCGCAAGGCAGUUGUGAAGGUGCUGCAUGGUUGUCGUCAGCUCGUGCCGUGAGGUGUCGGCUUAAGUGCCAUAACGAGCGCAACCCUUAUCGAUAGUUACCAUCAGGUUAUGCUGGGGACUCUGUCGAGACUGCCGUCGUAAGAUGUGAGGAAGGUGGGGAUGACGUCAAAUCAGCACGGCCCUUACGUCCGGGGCUACACACGUGUUACAAUGGGGGGUACAGAAGGCAGCUACACGGCGACGUGAUGCUAAUCCCGAAAGCCUCUCUCAGUUCGGAUUGGAGUCUGCAACCCGACUCCAUGAAGCUGGAUUCGCUAGUAAUCGCGCAUCAGCCACGGCGCGGUGAAUACGUUCCC
RNAcentral lists this ribosomal RNA (1017 nucleotides) under uncultured organism. Its description in RNAcentral is "bacterial SSU rRNA". It matches the Rfam family "Bacterial small subunit ribosomal RNA", at positions 355 to 1375 of the family's 1533-position model. The record is from RNAcentral.